AGAGUUUGAUCCUGGCUCAGAACGAACGCUGGCGGCGUGCUUAACACAUGCAAGUCGAACGCGAACGUCUUCUUCGGAAGGCUAGUAGAGUGGCGCACGGGUGAGUAACGCGUAAGUAAUCUACCCCUGUAUUUGGGAUAACCCACCGAAAGGUGUGCUAAUAUCGGAUACGUCUAAUUUAAUAUCUUUUUUUUAGAGAAAGGUGGCCUCUUCAUGAAAGCUACUGUACAGGGAGGAGCUUGCGUACCAUUAGCUAGUUGGUAGGGUAAUGGCCUACCAAGGCAACGAUGGUUAGCGGGUCUGAGAGGAUGAUCCGCCACACUGGAACUGAAACACGGUCCAGACUCCUACGGGAGGCAGCAGUGAGGAAUUUUGCGCAAUGGGCGAAAGCCUGACGCAGCAAUGCCGCGUGAAGGAUGAAGGCCUUCGGGUUGUAAAAUCCUGUCAGAUGGGAAGAAGUGCUAUAUGAUUAAUACUUAUAUAGUUUGACGGUACCAUCAAAGGAAGCACCGGCUAACUCCGUGCCAGCAGCCGCGGUAAU
This 541-nucleotide ribosomal RNA is filed under the name uncultured delta proteobacterium. RNAcentral's name for it is "bacterial SSU rRNA". It matches the Rfam family "Bacterial small subunit ribosomal RNA", at positions 8 to 524 of the family's 1533-position model. Lineage: Bacteria; Deltaproteobacteria. The record is from RNAcentral.